AUUACUUAAUCCAAUUAUUUGAUAACUUUAGUUACCGGCAGAUACCGAUACAAUUAGCAAUAGAAUUAUAAGCAAACCAAUUAUAUAUUAUAGAUGAUACAACCAUUUGAUUGAUUCACAAGCUAGAAUCUAGAAUCAGCUCCAGCUGUACCAGCUGAAACAUUACAGUGUAGCGGCUAUUAAUGCAUCCUAUAAUAUCCAAUUAUAUCCAAUUAUAAAGCUUCUUUUGGCACGUUAAUUAAAUUAUAUUUAAUCUGCCAUUAUUACUUUAAUCAAAUAAAAAUGAAUGACUUUCACACUGUUUUACUGGGACUUUUACUUCUCCCACCUCCGUGCUCAACACAUGCAAAUAUAAAAAGAGUUUUCCCGUAGUAUGAAACCAACGACUUUAACAGAGAAGGCUGGCGGCUCAGCUAAGCCCUCGUCGACCACGACCGUGGGGGAUAUCACGAGCAUCUGAUAGAGAAACCUAGAACGUGGCUAUUCACAUAACCGAGGCAGAUCCAUAGAGAGCCCGGCGGUGCAAAUAGGAUUUGAUGUGCUGGGAAGAGGUGCGACUAGGGUCCAAAAGAAUGCGCCAUUUCAUAAAUAGCCUUUGUUAGAUGCGAUGCGUACGAUGGUAAUGGGGAAAGGAGCUGGUGAGAGAACCUUGUCUGGCUCUUCCCAUCUCUGCACAUUAAUCUGAAGUGACACAUCACAAACGACGUCUCCUAUCUUUGAAAAGGCCGCUAUCCUUCCAGCGCUGAUGCCGCGAUGAUAGCAGAGAUUGUUUAUUAACUUUUAAAAAUGGGCACUACCAGCAUCAGCAUUUUGGAUCAAUCUGUAGGAACAAUCAAUAACAGCUGACAGCUAAAAACAGACUGUGUUUGGAGUAACUGGUCACUCUUAAGACACCCACCUCUCUUUUAUCGGAGCCCAUCAUCUACGGAAGUUACUUUAUUAAAAGCAGCAUUUUUGUUUGUGGGAGUUUCUGCUGGUGAAAGAAAGGAUUGACAUUCAAACUAACAACAUGGUAACGAUAAGUUGUGGAAUAUUUCCACUUUUCCUCUGUCCUCAUUUCUGUCUCCGGUUCUCACAAGACAAACUCGAGAUAACUGCUUAAUCGAAAAAAACAACGUAGCGGACAAUCAAGAGCACAAUCGGUCUCUUUUCUCUGGUGGAUGAAUAUCUUCACCAAGAGUCUGCGUAAAUUGAUACUCCACAACAGACGGGAGGUUUUCACAUCCGUUCGUUAGUUGUUGUUGUUUAUUAUUAGAAAGCCUACCGGAGUUUCCCUCUGCACCUUUUCCCCUUGUUAUUGACGAGGAUGAAGCGGCCUGAGAUCCAUCACCAUACAAAGGCGUGCGCUACGUAGGCGUGCGCUACGAAGGCCUGCGCUACGUAGGCGUGCGCUACGAAGGCCUGCGCUACGGUGGCGUGCGCUACGAAGGUACGAAGGCCUGCGCUACGGUGGCGUGCGCUAUGAAGGCCUGUGCGCUACGAAGGCCUGUGCGCUACGUAGGCCUGUGCGCUACGAAGGCCUGUGCGCUACGUAGGCGUGCGCUACGAAGGCCUGUGCGCUACGAAGGCGUGCGCUACAUAGGCAUGUGCUACGAAGGCGUGUGCUACGAAGGCGUGUGCUACGUAGGCGUGGCAUUUGGCCGACUUGCUGCCGUGUCCGGAUACAUUUUAAAACCGGUUUAAAAAAGAAAACCAGUCGAGUGCACGUAGACCGGUCCCAUUAUUGACCCAACCCGCCCGAGCCCUCCCAUCCCACGGUCCAGAUGUUCCAUGUAGCUGCUGAAAUAUUCACACCUGGUCGGCUCUUCCACAGAUGUGGCCCCGUCAGUCCAGAUAAAAGGGAACACGGGCAGUUAAUCGACACGCUGCUGCGAUGCAGGACUUCUUACACAAGCACCAUCUUCAUGGGUCUAACGGUUGUGGAGAUUGUUAGAAACGUUGUUGUACUGUUCAGCAGAUUGUGCGGUGGGGGUGGGGGUGGGAUGGGGGGGUGCGGAGGGGUGUUUGAAGAGCGCCCGAAGGGGCAAUUGGUUGGUGUACCGUAUAUCAUCACAGUGUCGCCGGCUGAGGACUGUAAACAGUGUGAUUCAUAUCUCGUGUUCUGGAUGUUGCUUUAAUGGAUAUUGCACCAUAAACAGGCAGGGAAAUGGGCGAUUAGGUUUGAUUUAUUGGCAGGUCACUUGUCUGGAGAUGAUGGGGAUCACCUUUUAUUGCUCAGGUUAUGUAACGGGGGUCCCUUCAAAUCACCGAGGUAGAGAAAAUGAAACGGCCCGAAUGGACGGCGACGGCGGUGGCGGAGUCUGUCCUCGGGAAACGGCCGCGGGUGUCGUCCAGGGAGCUCGGCGGGUCGCACUUGAACUGUGGCUGAAGAGAAAUGGCUAACUGAGCCCAGACAAAUAAACACAAGAGGCACGGGAGCCUCCCCACCCCCCCCCCCCCCCCCC
Gasterosteus aculeatus aculeatus (three-spined stickleback) is the source of this 2444-nucleotide long non-coding RNA. Lineage: Eukaryota; Metazoa; Chordata; Actinopteri; Perciformes; Gasterosteidae. The record is from Ensembl.